Molecule: long non-coding RNA, 1736 nt
Organism: Vulpes vulpes (red fox)
Lineage: Eukaryota; Metazoa; Chordata; Mammalia; Carnivora; Canidae
Source: Ensembl
AUGUGUCCAGCUGAGCCUCCAAAACAUCACUGGAAGCUGGGGACAUCCAGUGAAUUGCAAGUAAGAAGUCACAGAGGCCACCUGAGGCAUCAGGGGGACUUAUGGAUUAAACGCAAGAGGCCAUCGGGCUGGACUGAGCUCAGCAUAAGGGCUGAGCUGGAGAGCAGGUGCCAGUGGCUGGGAGCUUGCCCGGUCUGCCUUCUCCUCCCUGGCAUUAAGUCCUCCGGCGUCAAUGACCGCCAGUCUCCCAGCUUCAUUCUCCACAGUGCUCAGGAUGGCCAACCUCCCAGAGUCUCCUCCACCAGGGACUUGGCUAAGGUAAGAGCAUUACAGUCCUCUCAGCUCCCCCUCCUCCCUCCCAUGUCUUCCACUGCUGCCUGGCCAAGGUCCCAUGAGGGCAGACUCUGUCCUCUCCUCCCCCUUCCGCCGCUGUGUGUUUCCAGCACUUCCCCUCCUUGCUGUAUCCACGGCAAUCAGAGAACAGGGCUCUCUGCCAGGCGGAGGCUGACAGAAACAGACACGCCUGGAGCUGGGACAUGCACUUCCAGAAGUGUAACCUGUCCUGUGCCGGGCAGUCGUGGUGCUGAGAUGCUCUGGCUCUCUUCCCUGGCAUCCAGCCCUGCACGACCCUCCCCUUCUCCUACCUGAAACUUCCCGGCACACAUCACAGGCCCCAGUCCACCGCCCCAGCAGCGGAGGAGAUACUGCUUAGUAGAACAGUGGAGGCCCCCGCUGCCCCACCCGUAACAAAGGCCAGGUGCCUGGUGCAGCUGGGUUUGAAAUCUGGAUCAGCCACGUGCUAGCUGUGCCACUGCAGCCAAGCAAUUCGGUUUCCUCUUCUGGAAGAUGGGGAGAAGAAUGUCUAGCUCGUGGCUUCUGAGGAUGCGUGUUAACAUUAAGCAUUCCUAGCACAUACCCGGUAUCAUUAGAGAGCCUCCUCUGUUAAUCCAAGUUUUUUUUUUUCCCUGUCAUAGGUGAUUGUGUGGUUCUCCGUGAAGCCACCCCAAACCUUGAAGGCUCACCUUUCAGGAUCUGCCCAGACUGAGCCAUGGCUCUGAGGGGCUGUUGAAAGACCCUCUCCGAGUAGCGUGUACAGUCAGGGACUGCCCCCCACCCCCCACCGACUUCCUAACCCUACAUGCCCUCUUUGCCUCCACAGAAGGCCCUGGACCAUUGUCAUCACUACCCCAGUGACCUGCUGCCAGAACCUCACCUAGGAGUGUGCUGGAAGGCACCUGGCACCGGCCUGGAAGGAACUGCGAAAUGUCCAGUGAGAAUGUCUUUUCCUGCUCUGGUUGGGAUGCCGAGCACAGCCCAGCAUCGUGGAAACCUCUGAUGUUUGGGAGGCUCCUGAAUACUAACGAGGGCAGGAAGAAAAAAAUGAAAGAGGAAGGAGAACGAUGUCUCAGUCAGAAGUUUUUCUAAUCGCUAUAGAUCCCCCCCCCCUCCGUUUUAGUGGAUUUGAGAGAGGAUGUAGGAAAAGGAAGGGGAAAAAGAAUCAAAAGCAGAUUAUUACCCUGAGCCGCUCCUGCUUUUCAUUGGGAGCCGUGACAGCGACUUUCUGCCUGCCAGAUCUGCAUGUUAAAGGCCGACGAAUGAUGCGGGCAAAAUAUUGACAACUGAACUGAGAUUAUAGGUUACUUGGAUCUUGAGAGAUAAGAUCAAUUAAAAUGGAGCUUUCCACUCAGAAGGUGAAUUAGCUUCUGAAAAAAUAAAAAUCUGCUCCCCCGUGCCCA